UUUAAGCUACUAAGUGGUAGAAUAACGUUUAUGCAGCAGUAAAUAACCAGAACGCCAACUAGCUAAUCAGCCCUGGGAGUGUCAGCUCAGCAGAUUAACUGUGGUGGCUGGUUGCUCUGGCAACUGCCUCAGCCAUCACUUUGGCCAAGUCUCCUCCCUCCACAUAUGUGUUCUCAUCUAGAUCAGUUUCGAUUCCCGCUGGUGGAAAGCAGCCUCAGGCAGGGCCACUGCGCAGGAAGGGCGGGCCUGGGUGCAGGCGGGGCUCCGGGAGUCACCCCCAGACGCGCGGCUCCCCUUCCUUGUCCUCCGCAUGACGCCCGUGCCGGAGCCCACGUGAGCCUUUGCCAAGGAGAGAUUCAGAGAUAUGAGCAGAAAAACUGGAAGAUGGACUUCUUCAAUAAGGCAGCGGGACGGUUUGGCUGAUGGAAGAUGUUUCCCGGAAGCCUGUUCACGCUCCACCCUGAAAGUCCCAGGGCCGUGAGAGUCAGCCGGGCCGCCGAGGCGGUGCCCUCCAGGCUGCAGGAUGAUCCAGGGACUGUUUUCCUCAGCACUGUGUGCAGAACAAAGCGAAGAUGAGAUUAAUCAUGCUUCCACCUACCCGGAGACACCUGCACAAUUAAUUCUUCCUUUACUCCCUUUUUUUCCUUCAGAAGUUCACCUUAUCUUAUGUAAAAUGCAGAUCUACUGGGCACUAACUAAAGUCUCACAAGAAUAUAACCAUUCCCUGUCUCACUACUUACCUGCCCCUCAUCCUACAUGCCUUCCCCACCCCUCUUUUUUUUUUUUGAGAUAGAGUUUCGCUCUUGUUGGCCAGGCUGGAGUGCAAUGGCGUGAUCUUGCCUUACCACAACUUCCGCCUCCCAGGUUCAAGCGAUUCUCCUGCCUCAGCCUCCCGAGUAGCUGGGAUUAUAGGCAUGUACCACCACGCCCAUCUAAUUUUGUAUUUUUAGUAGAGAUGGGGUUUCUUCAUGUUGGUCAGGCUGGUCUCCAACUCCCGACCUCAGGUGAUCUGCCUGCCUCGGCCUCCCAAAAUGCUGGGAUUACAGGCUUGAGCCACCGUGCCUGGCCAUGCCUUCCCCUGUUUAAGGAUAUGUAUAAAUACUAAAUCUCCUUAAAACCUCUUCAGAGAAUCCAUGCCACAGACUCUUUCUGUGCCUUGUGUUUUUCCUGGGCACUUCCUCAAGCUUGGACUCAAUAAACUUUGGCUGAUGGAGACUUACCUCAGCCUGUCAUUUUUUUUGUUUAACAAACUGAUAAAC
Molecule: long non-coding RNA, 1259 nt
Filed under: Homo sapiens (human)
Lineage: Eukaryota; Metazoa; Chordata; Mammalia; Primates; Hominidae
Description: HSALNT0239423
Source: RNAcentral